RNAcentral lists this ribosomal RNA (253 nucleotides) under uncultured bacterium. RNAcentral's name for it is "partial 16S ribosomal RNA". It matches the Rfam family "Bacterial small subunit ribosomal RNA", at positions 524 to 776 of the family's 1533-position model. The record is from RNAcentral.
UACGUAGGGGGCAAGCGUUGUCCGGAAUCAUUGGGCGUAAAGAGCGCGUAGGCGGUCCGGUAAGUCCGCUCUGAAAGCCCGGGGCUCAACCCCGGGAGGCGGGCGGAUACUGUCGGGCUAGAGUCCGGAAGAGGCGAGUGGAAUUCCUGGUGUAGCGGUGAAAUGCGCAGAUAUCAGGAGGAACACCAAUUGCGAAGGCAGCUCGCUGGGACGUUACUGACGCUGAGACGCGAAAGCGUGGGGAGCAAACAGG